This is a long non-coding RNA of Brassica napus (rape), 1376 nucleotides long. RefSeq lists it as uncharacterized. The transcript is spliced from 2 exons. Lineage: Eukaryota; Viridiplantae; Streptophyta; Magnoliopsida; Brassicales; Brassicaceae. The record is from RefSeq and is a predicted model, not a curated record.
CUCCUUGUGAAUUACUUCGAUGAAAAAUCUAUUUUAUGAUAUUUUGAAAGAAUUGCCCUUUAGUUAAAGGCUUUUGGUCUUUUAUGCUUUCCAGUUUCCAAAGUGAUCAAAAGACCGUAGGUGCUCUUUUGUGUAAAUCAUAAGUCAAAAAAGUGUGUUAAGUGUAAAUAUUCAACUUUGUACUAUAGCUGGCCUAAAAAUAUUGCAAACCUUUCUAAUCCGGAUUGUGAUUUGUGACAUUUUAGUUAAGAAAAUAAAAUAAUCUUUACAUACUCAUUUCGAACUUGAGAUUGAUAAAAUAAUUUUUUAUGCUUUAAGACACAUUCCCACUUUCAAUUUACACGAUCAAACGCAUGUUGCUGGAGGCACACUUUCUGUGUGUUGGUUGUCUCUUAUACUCCCAAUUUCGUUUCUCCUCAACAUUCGUUCUUUCGUAACUAUAACAACAAUCCAAUUAGACACACAUCUCAAUUAAAGAAAUAUAGCAAAAUACAAUUCAUCCCUUAUUUCUCAUAUUUUGAGACAAAUUUUGAAAUCACUUUCAUAGUUUUUCAAACCCUAAUUGCGACGAUCCCCUUUCAUCUUUUAUCCCCGAACCUCGUUCAGCUUCGAGUAACCAUGGCGAAAUCGAAGUCAAAGAAGAAAGGGAACCUCAAUAGUCAACCUUCUUCACCGCAGAUCGAUCGGAGGUUUUAUAUUUUGAAUUCCUUAACUCUUGUUGACUUUCAAGAGUUUUCAAAAUCCUUAACUUUUUCUGUUUUUUUCUUGUUUUUAUUGUUUAUGUUAUAAUUUCCAAUUGAAUCGAAUCUCUUGAGAUUUUGUGGACGGGAGAGAUGACGAGCAGAUCCGAGAGCUCCGGUGUGAAGAGGACGACGCGACAACGAGCAGGUCUGAGCUUCGUUGUGGUGAGGAUGACAGGACGGCCAGCAGAUUCGAGCUCUGGUGUGGAGAUGACGCGGCGACGAGCAGGUCCGACCUCCGUUGUGAAAAAGAAGACGACAAGCUCUUGUGGUGUGAAGAUAGAUUUUUGGGCCAAACUUGACACGACCACAGCAAGAAUCCAUGGAUGAUGCAGCAAGAUAUUUUGACUACAUGACCACAUCAAGAACAACGUCCUAAACAUCAAUCUUGUUCCCACCCAUUAAGAGUCCAUGGAUGAUGCAGCUUAACACUUCCUAUCCAGACUCCAAAGCGUGGUCUAUCUACUUUCACUUGAUCUUGCAUUUCACAACUAUGUCAACAUAUGUAAUUAUUAUAGACCAAACUUGGUGAAAGUAUGGAUGUUAACGUUUUAGUAUUAGUGUCCAACUUUGAUGUUCAUGUCCACAUAUAGUUUAUAACUCUAUUAUCUAAAUAUCCAUAUCCACAUUUUUAUA